Molecule: unclassified non-coding RNA, 346 nt
Filed under: soil metagenome
Description: partial contains 5.8S ribosomal RNA, internal transcribed spacer 2, and large subunit ribosomal RNA
Rfam family: 5.8S ribosomal RNA (bases 3-120)
Source: RNAcentral
GAAUGAAGAACGUAGCGAAAUGCGAUACGUAAUGUGAAUUGCAAAUUCAGUGAAUCAUCGAGUCUUUGAACGCACAUUGCGCCCCCUGGUAUUCCGGGGGGCAUGCCUGUCCGAGCGUCAUUGCUGCCCUCAAGCACGGCUUGUGUGUUGGGCCCCGUCCUCCGAUCCCGGGGGACGGGCCCGAAAGGCAGCGGCGGCACCGCGUCCGGUCCUCGAGCGUAUGGGGCUUUGUCACCCGCUCUGUAGGCCCGGCCGGCGCUUGCCGAUCAACCCAAAUUUUUAUCCAGGUUGACCUCGGAUCAGGUAGGGAUACCCGCUGAACUUAAGCAUAUCAAUAAGCGGAGGA